Diuraphis noxia (Russian wheat aphid) is the source of this 146-nucleotide long non-coding RNA. NCBI's taxonomy places the organism in Eukaryota, Metazoa, Arthropoda, Insecta, Hemiptera, Aphididae. The record is from RefSeq and is a predicted model, not a curated record.
AUGAGCACUGUAUGUAGAGGAUAUACAUAGAAUAUGCAACCGUGACACGUGCAGAUUUUCAACGGGGUAUGAAUCGAUUAAUUGAUGAACUUUUAAGAAAAGGAUUUAGAUUAAUUGAUAUGACAGCAUCAUUAUUUUGAACCGUA